RNAcentral lists this ribosomal RNA (253 nucleotides) under uncultured bacterium. Its description in RNAcentral is "partial 16S ribosomal RNA". It matches the Rfam family "Bacterial small subunit ribosomal RNA", at positions 524 to 776 of the family's 1533-position model. The record is from RNAcentral.
UACGUAGGUGGCGAGCGUUGUCCGGAUUUAUUGGGUUUAAAGGGUGCGUAGGCGGCUCAUUAAGUCAGUGGUGAAAUACCCCGGCUCAACCGGGGGGGUGCCAUUGAUACUGAUGGGCUUGAGUACAGACGAGGCAGGCGGAAUUGACGGUGUAGCGGUGAAAUGCAUAGAUAUCGUCAAGAACACCUAUAGCGAAGGCAGCUUGCUAGACUGGCACUGACGCUGAGGCGCGAAAGCUAGGGGAGCAAACGGG